Molecule: small RNA, 58 nt
Filed under: Salix viminalis (osier)
Lineage: Eukaryota; Viridiplantae; Streptophyta; Magnoliopsida; Malpighiales; Salicaceae
Source: RNAcentral
CUAUUUGGUUGGGCUAGACCCAACCCGAUUAUAUAUUUAAAAAUAUAUAUAUGAUUAA